Molecule: ribosomal RNA, 483 nt
Filed under: uncultured bacterium
Lineage: Bacteria
Description: partial 16S ribosomal RNA
Rfam family: Bacterial small subunit ribosomal RNA
Source: RNAcentral
GAUGAACGCUGGCGGCGUGCUUAACACAUGCAAGUCGAACGGAAAGGCCCAAGCUUGCUUGGGUACUCGAGUGGCGAACGGGUGAGUAACACGUGGGUGAUCUGCCCUGCACUUCGGGAUAAGCCUGGGAAACUGGGUCUAAUACCGGAUAGGACCACUUCUUGGAUGGUGUGGUGGAAAGUUUUUUCGGUGUGGGAUGAGCUCGCGGCCUAUCAGCUUGUUGGUGGGGUAAUGGCCUACCAAGGCGUCGACGGGUAGCCGGCCUGAGAGGGUGUACGGCCACAUUGGGACUGAGAUACGGCCCAGACUCCUACGGGAGGCAGCAGUGGGGAAUAUUGCACAAUGGGCGCAAGCCUGAUGCAGCGACGCCGCGUGGGGGAUGACGGCCUUCGGGUUGUAAACUCCUUUCGCUAGGGACGAAGCGUUUUGUGACGGUACCUGGAGAAGAAGCACCGGCUAACUACGUGCCAGCAGCAGCCGCCG